This 779-nucleotide ribosomal RNA is filed under the name Pediococcus pentosaceus. RNAcentral describes it as "bacterial SSU rRNA". It matches the Rfam family "Bacterial small subunit ribosomal RNA", at positions 65 to 827 of the family's 1533-position model. The record is from RNAcentral. Lineage: Bacteria; Bacillati; Bacillota; Bacilli; Lactobacillales; Lactobacillaceae.
UACUUGUACUGAUUGAGAUUUUAACACGAAGUGAGUGGCGAACGGGUGAGUAACACGUGGGUAACCUGCCCAGAAGUAGGGGAUAACACCUGGAAACAGAUGCUAAUACCGUAUAACAGAGAAAACCGCAUGGUUUUCUUUUAAAAGAUGGCUCUGCUAUCACUUCUGGAUGGACCCGCGGCGUAUUAGCUAGUUGGUGAGGUAAAGGCUCACCAAGGCAGUGAUACGUAGCCGACCUGAGAGGGUAAUCGGCCACAUUGGGACUGAGACACGGCCCAGACUCCUACGGGAGGCAGCAGUAGGGAAUCUUCCACAAUGGACGCAAGUCUGAUGGAGCAACGCCGCGUGAGUGAAGAAGGGUUUCGGCUCGUAAAGCUCUGUUGUUAAAGAAGAACGUGGGUAAGAGUAACUGUUUACCCAGUGACGGUAUUUAACCAGAAAGCCACGGCUAACUACGUGCCAGCAGCCGCGGUAAUACGUAGGUGGCAAGCGUUAUCCGGAUUUAUUGGGCGUAAAGCGAGCGCAGGCGGUCUUUUAAGUCUAAUGUGAAAGCCUUCGGCUCAACCGAAGAAGUGCAUUGGAAACUGGGAGACUUGAGUGCAGAAGAGGACAGUGGAACUCCAUGUGUAGCGGUGAAAUGCGUAGAUAUAUGGAAGAACACCAGUGGCGAAGGCGGCUGUCUGGUCUGCAACUGACGCUGAGGCUCGAAAGCAUGGGUAGCGAACAGGAUUAGAUACCCUGGUAGUCCAUGCCGUAAACGAUGAUUACUAAGUGUUGGG